This 253-nucleotide ribosomal RNA is filed under the name uncultured bacterium. RNAcentral's name for it is "partial 16S ribosomal RNA". It matches the Rfam family "Bacterial small subunit ribosomal RNA", at positions 524 to 776 of the family's 1533-position model. The record is from RNAcentral.
UACGGGGGGAGCAAGCGUUGUUCGGAUUUACUGGGCGUAAAGAGCGCGCAGGCGGUCGUUCAAGUCGAGUGUGAAAGCCCCCGGCUCAACUGGGGAGGGUCAUUCGAUACUGAUCGACUCGAAGGCAGGAGAGGGAAGCGGAAUUCCCGGUGUAGUGGUGAAAUGCGUAGAUAUCGGGAGGAACACCAGUGGCGAAGGCGGCUUCCUGGCCUGUUCUUGACGCUGAGGCGCGAAAGCUAGGGGAGCAAACGGG